GUCGUGAGAUGUUGGGUUAAGUCCCGCAACGAGCGCAACCCUUGGGACUAGUUGCCAGCGAGUCAUGUCGGGGACUCUAGUCCGACUGCCGGUGCCAAACCGGAGGAAGGUGGGGACGACGUCAAGUCAUCAUGGUCCUUACGUCCAGGGCUACACACGUGCUACAAUGGGCGGGACAGAGGGCAGCGGUGCCGAAAGGCCGAGCCAAUCCCAGAAACCCGUCCUCAGUUCGGAUUGUCGUCUGCAACUCGACGGCAUGAAGCUGGAAUCGCUAGUAAUCGCGGAUCAGCGAUGCCGCGGUGAAUACGUUCCCGGGCCUUGUACACACCGCCCGUCACGCCAUGGAAGCUGUGAGUGCCCGAAGUCGGUGCCGCAACCCGCAAGGGGGCAAGCCGCCGAAGGCAAGCGCAGUGACUGGGGCGAAGUCGUAACAAGGUAGCCGUAGGGGAACCUGCGGCUGGAUCACCUCCUUAACGGAGCCCGCGAGUAGGCCGACGGCAGUGCAUCGCCUCGUCCGAAAGCAGCUCACGUGUCGCCCGCCUCAAACCCAACGCUCGAUUCAAUUUUCUUUUUUCUUCUGCACGACCCAUCGACAGCGCAUCGUCGCUGUGUCGUCUCCGCUGUUUGACAACUGAUGGUCAACGUGAUCGUGGAACAUGUGUUCGCGAUUGACGCCGGUACCAGGCGAGAGCCGACGUGUCGGUAGCAACUGUGAACACGGAUCAACACACCGUAGUGAAGCAAUUCGCUUAUACAGAAAUUGCUCACUCGUGAUGAUCGCGCGUGCUUUGCUUGAACAGAUAAUUGAGUCAAGCGAACGAAGGCAUGUGGAGGAUGCCUGGGCACAUGGAGGCGACGAAGGCCGUGGUAAGCUGCGAUAAGCUCGGGGGAGCGGCACACACGCAUUGAUCCCGAGAUGG
Molecule: small RNA, 920 nt
Filed under: uncultured Gemmatimonas sp.
Lineage: Bacteria; Pseudomonadati; Gemmatimonadota; Gemmatimonadia; Gemmatimonadales; Gemmatimonadaceae
Description: bacterial SSU rRNA
Rfam family: Bacterial small subunit ribosomal RNA (bases 1-473)
Source: RNAcentral